This 296-nucleotide unclassified non-coding RNA is filed under the name Conidiobolus coronatus. Its description in RNAcentral is "partial internal transcribed spacer 2". Lineage: Eukaryota; Fungi; Entomophthoromycota; Entomophthoromycetes; Entomophthorales; Conidiobolaceae. The record is from RNAcentral.
AUUAAUAACCGAUGCUUGGUUUUAAUUUAAUUGAGUUUAAUAUUAUUCUUUGAGUAAUGUUAAAAAUUUGAGAAUUCUUAACACGAUUCUUUAAAUUCAAGCUUAAUAAUUUGAGUAUAAUUUAUUAUACUUAGAUGAUGUUACGCUAAUAGUUAAAUUCAAUAGUUAUUAAUAAGUUUUAGCAUUUAUUUGCUCUAACUUUUAUUAUUAUUGGGUUUUAUCAAGCUAUUAAGUUUAAAAUAUCACCGUAAAGUUAUUACGUAAAUAAAAUUAAAUAAGUUACUUAUUUAUUAAAU